Molecule: small nucleolar RNA, 122 nt
Filed under: Ursus americanus (American black bear)
Lineage: Eukaryota; Metazoa; Chordata; Mammalia; Carnivora; Ursidae
Description: Small nucleolar RNA SNORA3/SNORA45 family (ENSUAMG00000024942.1)
Source: RNAcentral
CCUGAGACUAGAGUCACAUCCUGACACAGUUCUUGUCCUGAUAUGCUGGAGUUUUCAGGGCAAUCUGCUGGUCCUUUUUUUAAGAUUUCAUUUAUGUAUUUGAGAGAAAGACAGAGAGAGCA